This 305-nucleotide ribosomal RNA is filed under the name uncultured bacterium. RNAcentral's name for it is "bacterial SSU rRNA". It matches the Rfam family "Bacterial small subunit ribosomal RNA", at positions 335 to 658 of the family's 1533-position model. The record is from RNAcentral.
GUCCUACGGGAGGCAGCAGUGGGGAAUAUUGCACAAUGGGGGAAACCCUGAUGCAGCGACGCCGCGUGAGUGAAGAAGUAUCUCGGUACGUAAAGCUCUAUCAGCAGGAAAGAAAAUGACGGUACCUGACUAAGAAGCCCCGGCUAACUACGUGCCAGCAGCCGCGGUAAUACGUAGGGGGCAAGCGUUAUCCGGAUUUACUGGGUGUAAAGGGAGCGUAGACGGCGAUGCAAGUCUGAAGUGAAAGGCGGGGGCCCAACCCCCGGACUGCUUUGGAAACUGUAUGGCUGGAGUGCAGGAGAGGG